UUAAUUGAAGAGUUUGAUCAUGGCUCAGAUUGAACGCUGGCGGCAGGCCUAACACAUGCAAGUCGAACGGUAACAGGGAGCAGCUUGCUGCUCUGCUGACGAGUGGCGGACGGGUGAGUAAUGUCUGGGAAACUGCCUGAUGGAGGGGGAUAACUACUGGAAACGGUAGCUAAUACCGCAUAACGUCUUCGGACCAAAGUGGGGGACCU
RNAcentral lists this ribosomal RNA (209 nucleotides) under Cronobacter sakazakii. RNAcentral describes it as "partial 16S ribosomal RNA". It matches the Rfam family "Bacterial small subunit ribosomal RNA", at positions 1 to 213 of the family's 1533-position model. The record is from RNAcentral. Lineage: Bacteria; Pseudomonadati; Pseudomonadota; Gammaproteobacteria; Enterobacterales; Enterobacteriaceae.